GGAAUUUUGGACAAUGGGCGCAAGCCUGAUCCAGCCAUGCCGCGUGCGGGAAGAAGGCCUUCGGGUUGUAAACCGCUUUUAGCCGGGAAGAAAAGGGCGGGGCUAAUACCUCCGACUUUUGACGGUACCGGCGGAAUAAGCACCGGCUAACUACGUGCCAGCAGCCGCGGUAAUACGUAGGGUGCGAGCGUUAAUCGGAAUUACUGGGCGUAAAGCGUGCGCAGGCGGCGCGUCGUGUCCUGUGUGAAAGCCCCGGGCUCAACCUGGGAAUGGCAUGGGAAACUGGCGCGCUGGAGUGCGGCAGAGGGGGGUGGAAUUCCGCGUGUAGCAGUGAAAUGCGUAGAGAUGCGGAGGAACACCGAUGGCGAAGGCAGCCCCCUGGGUCGACACUGACGCUCAGGCACGAAAGCGUGGGGAGCAAA
Molecule: ribosomal RNA, 422 nt
Filed under: uncultured bacterium
Lineage: Bacteria
Description: bacterial SSU rRNA
Rfam family: Bacterial small subunit ribosomal RNA
Source: RNAcentral